This 273-nucleotide ribosomal RNA is filed under the name uncultured bacterium. RNAcentral describes it as "partial 16S ribosomal RNA". It matches the Rfam family "Bacterial small subunit ribosomal RNA", at positions 524 to 796 of the family's 1533-position model. The record is from RNAcentral.
AACGUAGGAGACAAACGUUAUCCGGAGUUACUGGGCGUAAAGGGCGUGCAGGCGGUUGACUAAGUCUGGCGUGAAAGCUCUCGGCUAAACCGAGAGAGGUCGUCGGAGACUGGUUGACUAGAGGACGGUAGAGGCGAGUGGAAUUCCGGGUGUAGUGGUGAAAUGCGUAGAGAUCCGGAGGAACACCAGUGGCGAAGGCGACUCGCUGGGCCGUACCUGACGCUAAGACGCGACAGCAUGGGGAGCGAACGGGAUUAGAAACCCCCGUAGUCC